Molecule: microRNA precursor, 60 nt
Filed under: Triops cancriformis
Lineage: Eukaryota; Metazoa; Arthropoda; Branchiopoda; Notostraca; Triopsidae
Description: microRNA tcf-mir-10322 precursor
Source: miRBase by way of RNAcentral
AGUAGUAAAGGGUGGGAUGCACUGUAAAGUAACAAAGUGCACUUACUGACUUUACUGCCA